UGAACUUCCUUUUUCUUUCCCUCCCUUUCGAUCUGCUCUCAACAUAUGCAUAUAUUUUUAUUAUUUGAAUAAUAAAGCCAUGCCCCGUUUUAAGUAUUGUAGCCCCUGACCAUUGAUGCCCUGUCCGACUGACGUAGAGCCCCGUAACGUAUGUCAAGGCUCCGCCUAAAUUCGUUGGGGUUCUGUCUCGUGACGUAGGGAUAAAGUAGAAUUGGGUCACUAUACUUAAUGUGAGUGCACUAUAUAUGUUAUUAAAUAACUCAGGAGUGAUACCCAAAAUAUAACAACCCUCCUAAAACACCCCUGACACCCCUACACUUCCUAAAAUACACCACAUAUGUGAAAACCGAGCCGAAAUAUAAUAUAGCAUUAAAAAUAAAUGAAAAACAAGAAAUAGUAAGUUGAGGCGGGCCGCAUAGACCUCACCUCAACUUAACGCGGGCCGCAUUAAGGUAUAACCGGACUCCGCUAAAAUCCUUAGUUCAUGCGGGCCGCGUAUGAGUUCGCCUAAUUUCAUGCGGGCCGCGAGAGUCCCAAAAGGUGGCGCAGCUUUGGGCCGCCACGUGGCCCAACACAUGUCGAAGCUAGGCUAUGACUCGGAUCACCUACGCUGUUGACCAGCAUUGACGCGGGCCGCGUAGACUUUGGUCUACCCUUACGCGGGCCGCGAGAAAACCCAGGUGAAGCCCUAUAAAAGCAGGCCAUCGGAUCUUCAGUUGAAUUCGCUCACAAACGUUCCUUUCUCUCUCAAUUCUCAUAGUAGGCUUAUUAUACGCGGGUAUAAUACCCCCCUAAUUAGCGAAGCUCUGCCUCGUUGUAAGUAUCAUAACCCUGGAUACGUAUUAGGUACUCUGCCCGAUUGAUCUAGGGUUCCGUAACGGCUGUCGUGGUUCUGCCCGACGUAGUCGUUGGAAUGCCGUCUCGGGGAGGAUUAUAACCAGGGAAUCACAAAGGAAAGCCCUAUAAUAGCAAUGUAAUUUAGUGUAAAGCCAAUAGAAGCCAGCUGGAGAGCACUGAAGGCUUGGAAAAGUGGCAAUAAAGUUACCUGAAAUAAAAUAGAUGUUUUUAUUAAAUAAAAUAGGAUUUAUUCCUAUAAAAAUGUAUGUACUGAAAAACUUGGGUUUUAUCCCAUGUGUUUAAUAUAAUAAAAAUAUGGUGGUUUUACU
This 1166-nucleotide long non-coding RNA is filed under the name Helianthus annuus (common sunflower). Its description in RNAcentral is "hypothetical non coding rna". The record is from RNAcentral. Lineage: Eukaryota; Viridiplantae; Streptophyta; Magnoliopsida; Asterales; Asteraceae.